RNAcentral lists this ribosomal RNA (301 nucleotides) under uncultured bacterium. RNAcentral's name for it is "partial 16S ribosomal RNA". It matches the Rfam family "Bacterial small subunit ribosomal RNA", at positions 509 to 807 of the family's 1533-position model. The record is from RNAcentral.
CAGCAGCCGCGGGAAUACGAAGGGGGCUAGCGUUGCUCGGAAUGACUGGGCGUAAAGGGCGCGUAGGCGGUUUAUACAGUCAGAUGUGAAAUUCCUGGGCUCAACCUGGGGACUGCAUUUGAUACGUAUGGACUUGAGUGGCGAAGAGGGUCGUGGAAUUUCCAGUGUAGAGGUGAAAUUCGUAGAUAUUGGAAAGAACACCGGUGGCGAAGGCGGCGACCUGGUCUUUAACUGACGCUGAGGCGCGAAAGCGUGGGGAGCAAACAGGAUUAGAUACCCCCGUAGUCCCUGUCUCUUAUAC